AUACGGAGGGAGCAAGCGUUAUUCGGAAUCGCUGGGCGUAAAGGACGCGUAGGCGGGUUUGUAAGUCAGGUGUGAAAUCCUACAGCUCAACUGUAGAACUGCACUUGAAACUACAGACCUAGAGUAUGGAAGGGGCAGAUGGAAUUAGUGGUGUAGGGGUAAAAUCCGUAGAUAUCACUAGGAAUACCGAAAGCGAAGGCGAUCUGCUGGGACAUUACUGACGCUGAGGCGUGAAAGCGUGGGGAGCAAACAGGAUUAGAUACCCUAGUAGUCC
RNAcentral lists this ribosomal RNA (274 nucleotides) under uncultured bacterium. RNAcentral describes it as "partial 16S ribosomal RNA". It matches the Rfam family "Bacterial small subunit ribosomal RNA", at positions 523 to 796 of the family's 1533-position model. The record is from RNAcentral.